This 497-nucleotide ribosomal RNA is filed under the name uncultured bacterium. Its description in RNAcentral is "partial 16S ribosomal RNA". It matches the Rfam family "Bacterial small subunit ribosomal RNA", at positions 28 to 507 of the family's 1533-position model. The record is from RNAcentral.
GAUGAACGCUGGCGGCGUGCCUAAUACAUGCAAGUCGAGCGAACGGACGAGAAGCUUGCUUCUCUGAUGUUAGCGGCGGACGGGUGAGUAACACGUGGAUAACCUACCUAUAAGACUGGGAUAACUUCGGGAAACCGGAGCUAAUACCGGAUGAUAUUUUGAACCGCAUGGUUCAAAAGUGAAAGACGGUCUUGCUGUCACUUAUAGAUGGAUCCGCGCUGCAUUAGCUAGUUGGUAAGGUAACGGCUUACCAAGGCAACGAUGCAUAGCCGACCUGAGAGGGUGAUCGGCCACACUGGAACUGAGACACGGUCCAGACUCCUACGGGAGGCAGCAGUAGGGAAUCUUCCGCAAAGGGCGAAAGCCUGACGGAGCAACGCCGCGUGAGUGAUGAAGGUCUUCGGAUCGUAAAACUCUGUUAUUAGGGAAGAACAUAUGUGUAAGUAACUAUGCACGUCUUGACGGUACCUAAUCAGAAAGCCACGGCUAACUACGUG